GAUGAACGCUGGCGGCGUGCCUAAUACAUGCAAGUCGAGCGAACAGAUGAGGAGCUUGCUCCUCUGACGUUAGCGGCGGACGGGUGAGUAACACGUGGAUAACCUACCUAUAAGACUGGGAUAACUUCGGGAAACCGGAGCUAAUACCGGAUAAUAUAUUGAACCGCAUGGUUCAAUAGUGAAAGACGGUUUUGCUGUAACUUAUAGAUGGAUCCGCGCCGCAUUAGCUAGUUGGUAAGGUAACGGCUUACCAAGGCAACGAUGCGUAGCCGACCUGAGAGGGUGAUCGGCCACACUGGAACUGAAACACGGUCCAGACUCCUACGGGAGGCAGCGGUAGGGAAUCUUCCGCAAUGGGCGAAGGCCUGACGGAGCAACGCCGCGUGAGUGAUGAAGGUCUUCGGAUCGUAAAACUCUGUUAUUAGGGAAGAACAAAUGUGUAAUUAACUAUGCACGUCUUGACGGUACCUAAUCAGAAAGCCACGGCUAACUACGUG
RNAcentral lists this ribosomal RNA (497 nucleotides) under uncultured bacterium. Its description in RNAcentral is "partial 16S ribosomal RNA". It matches the Rfam family "Bacterial small subunit ribosomal RNA", at positions 28 to 507 of the family's 1533-position model. The record is from RNAcentral.